RNAcentral lists this long non-coding RNA (499 nucleotides) under Homo sapiens (human). Its description in RNAcentral is "non-protein coding PRKCQ-AS1:51". The record is from RNAcentral. Lineage: Eukaryota; Metazoa; Chordata; Mammalia; Primates; Hominidae.
GGAGAAGCCUGGUUUGAGUGAGUUUUUCCUGAAGCAAAAGGGAAGAGCUUAAUUUCAAAAGAAUAUCUUGAAAGACGCAUCAACUCACCAUUAGAAAACAUGAAACGACAGAUUAUAUCCUAAGAUUGUGUGAACCUCUUACCUGGAAACCCGUACAAUUGCUUUAUCUACCAAUCCUAAACUAUUAUAUCUUGAUCUUUACUCAAUCCUAAUUACACACCCACAUUGAAAGACCUAUCUUAAUUCAGACUUCAAAAUCUUACAAACGUCCAAGUCCCUCCUUUGAAAUGCUACUAAGACUGCAGUAAGAAUACAUAGCAUGCAGUGACUGAGAGGAAGAGAGAUACUAACACUUGAAGUAAUCCAGUCUAUCAAUAGGAGAUGGACUGCUUUGAUUUAAAGCGAUUUACAAAAGGAUUUGGAUACCUCAUCUCUCCUGUUUCGCCAAGGUCUUGACUCAUCGCUGCAGAUGACUAAAUCCCAUUGAGCUAAAUCUCCU